Molecule: ribosomal RNA, 765 nt
Filed under: uncultured bacterium
Lineage: Bacteria
Description: bacterial SSU rRNA
Rfam family: Bacterial small subunit ribosomal RNA
Source: RNAcentral
ACGGAGCUUGCUCUGGUGGCGAGUGGCGAACGGGUGAGUAAUAUAUCGGAACGUACCCUAGAGUGGGGGAUAACGUAGCGAAAGUUACGCUAAUACCGCAUACGAUCUAAGGAUGAAAGUGGGGGAUCGCAAGACCUCAUGCUCGUGGAGCGGCCGAUAUCUGAUUAGCUAGUUGGUAGGGUAAAAGCCUACCAAGGCAUCGAUCAGUAGCUGGUCUGAGAGGACGACCAGCCACACUGGAACUGAGACACGGUCCAGACUCCUACGGGAGGCAGCAGUGGGGAAUUUUGGACAAUGGGCGAAAGCCUGAUCCAGCAAUGCCGCGUGAGUGAAGAAGGCCUUCGGGUUGUAAAGCUCUUUUGUCAGGAAGAAACGGUGAGAGCUAAUAUCUCUUGCUAAUGACGGUACCUGAAGAAUAAGCACCGGCUAACUACGUGCCAGCAGCCGCGCGUAAUACUGUAUCGUGUGCAAGGCGUUCAUCGGAAUUACUGGGCGUAUAAGCGUGCGCAGGCUGGUUUUGUAAUGUCUGAUGUUAAAUCCCCGGGUCUCUAACCUGUGAAUUUGCAUUUGGAGACUGCUAAGCUAGAAUCUGGCAGAGGGGGGUAGAAGUUCCACGUUGUAGCAUUGAAAUGCGUAGAUUUUUGUGAGGAACACCGAUUGCUAAUGCAGCCCCUUGGGUCCAGUAUUGACGCUCGUGUCAUCGUAAAUGCGUUGUGUGGAGCCCACCAGGAUUACGAUACCCUGGUAUUCCACGCCCUAAAACGA